RNAcentral lists this ribosomal RNA (468 nucleotides) under uncultured bacterium. RNAcentral describes it as "partial 16S ribosomal RNA". It matches the Rfam family "Bacterial small subunit ribosomal RNA", at positions 28 to 507 of the family's 1533-position model. The record is from RNAcentral.
GACGAACGCUGGCGGCGUGCUUAACACAUGCAAGUCGAACGGAAAGGCCCUGCUUUUGUGGGGUGCUCGAGUGGCGAACGGGUGAGUAACACGUGAGUAACCUGCCCUUGACUUUGGGAUAACUUCAGGAAACUGGGGCUAAUACCGGAUAGGAGCUCCUGCUGCAUGGUGGGGGUUGGAAAGUUUCGGCGGUUGGGGAUGGACUCGCGGCUUAUCAGCUUGUUGGUGGGGUAGUGGCUUACCAAGGCUUUGACGGGUAGCCGGCCUGAGAGGGUGACCGGCCACAUGGGGACUGAGAUACGGCCCAGACUCCUACGGGAUGCAGCAGUGGGGAAUAUUGCACAAUGGGCGGAAGCCGGAUGCAGCAACGCCGCGUGCGGGAUGACGGCCUUCGUGUUGUAAACCGCUUUCGCCUGUGACGAAGCGUGAGUGACGGUAAUGGGUAAAGAAGCACCGGCUAACUACGUG